UAUAGUUGUAUCAUUAUAAGUUAAUGAAAAAACAAAAUCUGUGUAGUUGUCCAGUACUUGCAAAACUACACUUGUUUACUAUUAUUUCCAUGUUAUGUUUAGAUGAGCACAAAGCCAAAGAGCCACAAGGCCAUGGGAGAUGGCGAGUGGAUGGCGAGGUUGAGGGCUUUUGCCAGCUCUGGAGUUUGGCCAUCUGGAGGAGGAAAUAGACCAUCCCCAAGGCAGCGGAAGUGGUACGACCUCUAUCAGAAGAUUGAGAAAUGCCCCAUGCAGGCCCAUGGACAGACAACCCUCUUUGGAGGGUCCAUGGCCUGCAACUGUGGAUUCCAUACCACUAAGCCUGCCACUGCCGCUUCAACUUCUGCCGCACCUCCGCAGUCUGAAGCUUCAGACACG
Long non-coding RNA from Ctenopharyngodon idella (grass carp), 396 nucleotides. RefSeq lists it as uncharacterized. Lineage: Eukaryota; Metazoa; Chordata; Actinopteri; Cypriniformes; Xenocyprididae. The record is from RefSeq and is a predicted model, not a curated record. The transcript is spliced from 3 exons.